UACGUAGGGGGCAAGCGUUGUCCGGAAUCACUGGGCGUAAAGCGCACGUAGGCGGAUGUGUCAGUCAGGGGUGAAAUCCCGGAGCUCAACUUCGGAACUGCCCUUGAUACAGCACGUCUUGAGUCCGGAAGAGGUGGGUGGAAUUCCUAGUGUAGAGGUGAAAUUCGUAGAUAUUAGGAAGAACACCGGUGGCGAAGGCGGCCCACUGGUCCGGUACUGACGCUGAGGCGCGAAAGCGUGGGGAUCAAACAGG
RNAcentral lists this ribosomal RNA (253 nucleotides) under uncultured bacterium. RNAcentral's name for it is "partial 16S ribosomal RNA". It matches the Rfam family "Bacterial small subunit ribosomal RNA", at positions 524 to 776 of the family's 1533-position model. The record is from RNAcentral.